CAGACUCUGAACCACCACCACCACCACCACCACCACCACCACCACCACCACCACCACCACCACCACCACCAACUGAUCUCUGAGUUACUAAUCCCAGCAGCUGGGCGUGCCCUCACAUACAGGCAUCUCAGAGGCUGCUUGGCUGGCCCCUGUUUUCAGAACUGGGAGCUGGUGCUGCCAUAUUGAAAAGAAGGAAAGCGCCGGCUCUGGACACAAGCUGCCUGUGUCCCAGGGGGACCGAGCGCACUCCCUUUUCCAAGAUGAGAGGAGAGAAUUCUUUACUGACUUGAAGAUACAGCACUAGAUAAGAUUACUGAAAAACCAUAUAUUUGGAGGCUUUGUGGGAACAUCAACUACAGUUGUUCAGGGGAGGUCUGAGGAUCCAAGAACAUGAGAGAACAAAAAACAACAUGAAGAAUUGGCAGGACAGUUCUGUAACCCUGGACACCACAGUGGCUCCUGUGGACUCACAGGAUGUCUGCUCAUUCUGUGCUUGACACAGGUCACACAGCUUUGGCUCAGAAGGUCUCCUGAUUGUUAUUCAUCUUCGUCUAGGAGUCCCGACAGAUUAGCAUCCUGCUAAGGUUCACUGUCCAGUAAACCCCAAGGACUGAGUUUUAAAACUUCUAAUGCUUUUGCGAAGUGCUUUCCCCACUCUUACACA
Molecule: long non-coding RNA, 664 nt
Filed under: Rattus norvegicus (Norway rat)
Lineage: Eukaryota; Metazoa; Chordata; Mammalia; Rodentia; Muridae
Description: long non-coding RNA NONRATT015148
Source: RNAcentral